RNAcentral lists this ribosomal RNA (351 nucleotides) under uncultured Mycobacterium sp. Its description in RNAcentral is "bacterial SSU rRNA". It matches the Rfam family "Bacterial small subunit ribosomal RNA", at positions 163 to 511 of the family's 1533-position model. The record is from RNAcentral. Lineage: Bacteria; Bacillati; Actinomycetota; Actinomycetes; Mycobacteriales; Mycobacteriaceae.
UAAAUACCGGAUAGGACCCAUGCCAUGCAUGUGGUGUGGUGGAAAGCUUUUGCGGUGUGGGAUGGGGCCCGCGGCCUAUCAGCUUGUUGGUGGAGUGAUGGCCUACCAAGGCGACGACGGGUAGCCGGCCUGAGAGGGGUGUCCGGCCACACUGGGACUGAGAUACGGCCCAGACUCCUACGGGAGGCAGCAGUGGGGAAUAUUGCACAAUGGGCGCAAGCCUGAUGCAGCGACGCCGCGUGGGGGAUGACGGCCUUCGGGUUGUAAACCUCUUUCACCAUCGGCGAAGCCCAUGAUUUUUGUUGUGGGUGACGGUAGGUGGAGAAGAAGCACCGGCCAACUACGUGCCAG